AGUCUAAGAAGUAGAACGGCAGACCGGAGCCGCUGGUAAAGCAAGACGUAAGCACCGGGUGAGCUUGGGUUGAAUCCAAGCAUUCAUUCUACCAGAUCGUCUCUAGGCUUUCACUCGGACCUUGAGAAGGUGAAUCCAGAGGGAAGAGAGAAGACCGUUACAGAAGGAGGCCGGUUUGCGUGUUAGUCUGCUACCUGUUGGGAGCCAUUGGAGGACAUUUGGCGGACAUCUUGUUUUGGGAAGGUCAUAACCACAAACCAUCCAGGAGAAUGUUGCUAUUGGGAUGACCUUUGUGACCUCACCAUUGCCCGCCCCCGUAAAGAUCAACCACUAAUCAGGAACCCUGAGGGAUGUGGUUGGCUGAAUCCAGUGAUGGACAGGUGACCAGCCAGCCAUCUAGCUGCCC
This is a long non-coding RNA of Salvelinus sp. IW2-2015, 406 nucleotides long. RefSeq lists it as uncharacterized. Lineage: Eukaryota; Metazoa; Chordata; Actinopteri; Salmoniformes; Salmonidae. The record is from RefSeq and is a predicted model, not a curated record.